This 429-nucleotide ribosomal RNA is filed under the name Bacteroidota bacterium. RNAcentral's name for it is "Bacteroidetes bacterium partial 16S ribosomal RNA". It matches the Rfam family "Bacterial small subunit ribosomal RNA", at positions 355 to 776 of the family's 1533-position model. Lineage: Bacteria; Pseudomonadati; Bacteroidota. The record is from RNAcentral.
UAGGGAAUCUUCCGCAAUGGACGCAAGUCUGACGGAGCAACGCCGCGUGAGUGAAGAAGGAUUUCGGUUCGUAAAACUCUGUUGUUAGAGAAGAACAGCGCAUAGAGUAACUGUUAUGCGUGUGACGGUAUCUAACCAGAAAGCCACGGCUAACUACGUGCCAGCAGCCGCGGUAAUACGUAGGUGGCAAGCGUUGUCCGGAUUUAUUGGGCGUAAAGCGGGCGCAGGCGGUCAAUUAAGUCUGAUGUGAAAGCCCCCGGCUCAACCGGGGAGGGUCAUUGGAAACUGGUUGACUUGAGUGCAGAAGAGGAGAGUGGAAUUCCAUGGGUAGCGGUGAAAUGCGUAGAUAUAUGGAGGAACACCAGUGGCGAAGGCGACUCUCUGGUCUGUAACUGACGCUGAGGCUCGAAAGCGUGGGUAGCAAACAGG